This is a long non-coding RNA of Brassica napus (rape), 416 nucleotides long. RefSeq lists it as uncharacterized. The transcript is spliced from 2 exons. NCBI's taxonomy places the organism in Eukaryota, Viridiplantae, Streptophyta, Magnoliopsida, Brassicales, Brassicaceae. The record is from RefSeq and is a predicted model, not a curated record.
CUGUAAAAAGCAACUCACUUUCGUAGCCCUCUCUCCAACGAAAGUUAUUCUCUCUCUGAUCUAAACCUCUUCCUUUAUCCAUACUUGAAACCCAGAGAAAGUUACUUUCCCAAAUAUGGAACACUUUUUUUUAUUUUCGAUGUCUGGGAGCCAUUGAGAGCAAGGUGAAACCUUUUUGCUUCUUUUUGACAGGUCUCUUGCUAUUUAAGAUUUUUGGUUCAUUGAUGAUUAUUCUUAUCAGUUAUGUGGCUAGCUUUUGUUUUCAAAGUUGGAACAUUUAGUCGUGUGGUGUUUAAUUGAAUACGUAUGUGUUGAUGUGUUUUAUUAAAGCUUAAAGCUUUUUAUCGUUUGUGGUGAUGAAACAUGUAUGUUGUUUGAUGAGUCUUUCUUUUCUAAUUAAGAACUUAUUGUUAUUA